CUAGCUGCCAAGGUCUGGGUGGUGCCCACCAUAACACUCACCGUGCUCCCAGCCACCAGCCAUUUACAGUCUUCCUCUUUACCUUUUUAUCUUGCAAACCUUUGCUCUUCCAUGUCACCCCACAGUAGUUCCCACUAAUAGAUCAUUGGGCUGGGCCUAGGAAAAAACGUUAGCACCAUUUCCAUUAAAUUCAGCUUUGGAAACAUCAGCCUGGUGCAUUGCACUGUAUCAGUCAAUCGACCUCCAAUUGACAUAUCCCUCAGCAAAACAAACUAUCUGUAAGGGAUAAGCAAUGAUUCAAGGAGCCAACGGCAUCUCUCUGUUCCUAGCUCCUCUUUCAGAGUGCUCCUGAGAAGCCACGGGUCAAUAGUAAUGAUCCCUGAAUCACCUUGUUGUCUUCCUCUUCCUCCAGGAACAGAUGAAGAACUCUAUACCUACCCAUGAUGCAACAACCAGUCAGUCCUUACACGUUGUCCGAGGACCACAGCUCAUCAGGAGGGCAGCGCUCCACUAGGUCACCGGGAGAUCUUGUUGGGCUUCUUUACACGGUGCUUUUAGAUGUAGAGGAAUUCCCCACUCUGCCGCAGCGGCCAUGUAGCAUUGCAGCUUGUUCUAGUGUUUUCGUGUUACGCCGCUCCAAGUGUGGAUUUUGUUCGUGCAAACAGCCAGAGACUCCAAAGACUUGGGUUCUAACCCUCACUUCAUGGCCUCUGAUGUGAAUCCAGGCAAGUCAUUUCCCUCUCUUUCCCUUCCCGCCCUUUAUCUGUCU
Molecule: long non-coding RNA, 769 nt
Organism: Alligator mississippiensis (American alligator)
Lineage: Eukaryota; Metazoa; Chordata; Crocodylia; Alligatoridae
Exons: 3
Source: RefSeq, a predicted model, not a curated record